This is a non-coding RNA of Podarcis lilfordi (Lilford's wall lizard), 76 nucleotides long. The record is from the annotation of a GenBank genome assembly. NCBI's taxonomy places the organism in Eukaryota, Metazoa, Chordata, Lepidosauria, Squamata, Lacertidae.
GUCUCUGGACAGUUCAGUUGGUUAGAGCAUGGUGCUGAUAAUGCUAAGGUUGCAGGUUUGAUUCUUGUAUUGGACA